Molecule: transfer RNA, 77 nt
Filed under: Candidatus Vogelbacteria bacterium
Lineage: Bacteria; Candidatus Vogeliibacteriota
Description: tRNA-Val
Rfam family: tRNA
About the family: Transfer RNA (tRNA) molecules are approximately 80 nucleotides in length. Their secondary structure includes four short double-helical elements and three loops (D, anti-codon, and T loops).
Source: RNAcentral
GGUCGAUUAGCUCAGCUGGUUAGAGCGCCACAUUGACAUUGUGGAGGUCACAGGUUCGAGUCCUGUAUCGACCACCA